Molecule: ribosomal RNA, 499 nt
Filed under: uncultured bacterium
Lineage: Bacteria
Description: partial 16S ribosomal RNA
Rfam family: Bacterial small subunit ribosomal RNA
Source: RNAcentral
GACGAACGCUGGCGGCGUGCCUAAUACAUGCAAGUCGAGCGAAGUUUUUCUGGUGCUUGCACCGGAAAAACUUAGCGGCGAACGGGUGAGUAACACGUAAAGAACCUGCCUCAUAGACUGGGACAACUAUUGGAAACGAUAGCUAAUACCGGAUAACAGCAUUAACUGCAUGGUUGAUGUUUAAAAGUUGGUUUUGCUAACACUAUGAGAUGGCUUUGCGGUGCAUUAGCUAGUUGGUGGGGUAAAGGCCUACCAAGGCGACGAUGCAUAGCCGACCUGAGAGGGUGAUCGGCCACACUGGGACUGAGACACGGCCCAGACUCCUACGGGAGGCAGCAGUAGGGAAUCUUCCGCAAUGGGCGAAAGCCUGACGGAGCAACGCCGCGUGAGUGAAGAAGGAUUUCGGUUCGUAAAGCUCUGUUGUUAGGGAAGAAUGAUUGUGUAGUAACUAUACACAGUAGAGACGGUACCUAACCAGAAAGCCACGGCUAACAACGUG